This is a long non-coding RNA of Sinocyclocheilus anshuiensis, 328 nucleotides long. RefSeq lists it as uncharacterized. Lineage: Eukaryota; Metazoa; Chordata; Actinopteri; Cypriniformes; Cyprinidae. The record is from RefSeq and is a predicted model, not a curated record. The transcript has 3 exons.
UUGAACUAACAUGGAUGCAGAGAAACACUAAUGGUAUGCAGAGCCUGAAAAAGAGUACCUUUAUCUGCAUGGUCUAAGAGGGCCCACACGUUUUCACGGUGUCCGCUGACAAGAGAGAGAGACAGAGAGACAAAUAAACAGCAAAAAGACAUCUGUAUGAAACGUGGCUAUCAUUUCAUUUGACCAGUGCAGCUACACCGGAAGUAUUGCCAGGAGACCAGACAAGUCUCUCAACACAGGAAGCUCUGAGUCCCGUUUUGGGUCACGGUGAAGAUACAGUAGGUCCACAUCAACACAGAGACACAGGCGGCCUCUGUGAAGGCCAGCU